AUUGAACGCUGGCGGCAUGCCUUACACAUGCAAGUCGAACGGCAGCACGGGAGCAAUCCUGGUGGCGAGUGGCGAACGGGUGAGUAAUAUAUCGGAACGUGCCCAGUCGUGGGGGAUAACGCAGCGAAAGCUGUGCUAAUACCGCAUACGAUCUCUGGAUGAAAGCGGGGGACUCGCAAGAGCCUCGCGCGAUUGGAGCGGCCGAUAUCAGAUUAGCUAGUUGGUGGGUAAAAGCCCACCAAGGCGACGAUCUGUAGCUGGUCUGAGAGGAUGAUCAGCCACACUGGAACUGAGACACGGUCCAGACUCCUACGGGAGCAGCAGUAGGGAAUAUUGGACAAUGGGCGCAAGCCUGAUCCAGCCAUGCCGCGUGAGUGAAGAAGGCCCUCGGGGUUGUAAAGCUCUUUUGUCCGGAAAGAAAAGCGCCGGGUUAAUACCCCUAGUGUCCUGACGUACCGGAAGAAUAAGCACCGGCUAACUU
RNAcentral lists this ribosomal RNA (481 nucleotides) under uncultured bacterium. RNAcentral describes it as "bacterial SSU rRNA". It matches the Rfam family "Bacterial small subunit ribosomal RNA", at positions 30 to 503 of the family's 1533-position model. The record is from RNAcentral.